AUUGAACGCUGGCGGCAUGCUUUACACAUGCAAGUCGAACGGCAGCGCGGGGCAACCUGGCGGCGAGUGGCGGACGGGUGAGUAAUAUAUCGGAACGUACCCAGACGUGGGGGAUAACGUAGCGAAAGUUACGCUAAUACCGCAUACGAUCUACGGAUGAAAGUCGGGGACCGCAAGGCCUUAUGCUUUUGGAUCGGCCGAUAUCUGAUUAGCUAGUUGGUGAGGUAAAGGCUCACCAAGGCGACGAUCAGUAGCUGGUCUGAGAGGACGACCAGCCACACUGGAACUGAGACACGGUCCAGACUCCUACGGGAGGCAGCAGUGGGGAAUUUUGGACAAUGGGCGCAAGCCUGAUCCAGCAAUGCCGCGUGAGUGAAGAAGGCCUUCGGGUUGUAAAGCUCUUUUGUCAGGGAAGAAACGGUAGAGGCUAAUAUCCCUUGCUAAUGACGGUACCUGAAGAAUAAGCACCGGCUAACUACGUG
Molecule: ribosomal RNA, 482 nt
Filed under: uncultured bacterium
Lineage: Bacteria
Description: partial 16S ribosomal RNA
Rfam family: Bacterial small subunit ribosomal RNA
Source: RNAcentral